CCGAGUUUACAACUCCCAAACCCAAUGUGAACCAUACCAAACUGUUGCCUCGGCGGGGUCACGCCCCGGGUGCGUCGCAGCCCCGGAACCAGGCGCCCGCCGGAGGGACCAACCAAACUCUUUUCUGUAGUCCCCUCGCGGACGUUAUUUCUUACAGCUCUGAGCAAAAAUUCAAAAUGAAUCAAAACUUUCAACAACGGAUCUCUUGGUUCUGGCAUCGAUGAAGAACGCAGCGAAAUGCGAUAAGUAAUGUGAAUUGCAGAAUUCAGUGAAUCAUCGAAUCUUUGAACGCACAUUGCGCCCGCCAGUAUUCUGGCGGGCAUGCCUGUCCGAGCGUCAUUUCAACCCUCGAACCCCUCCGGGGGGUCGGCGUUGGGGACCUCGGGAGCCCCUAAGACGGGAUCCCGGCCCCGAAAUACAGUGGCGGUCUCGCCGCAGCCUCUCCUGCGCAGUAGUUUGCACAACUCGCACCGGGAGCGCGGCGCGUCCACGUCCGUAAAACACCCAACUUUCUGAAAUGUUGACCUCGGAUCAGGUAGGAAUACCCGCUGAACUUAAGCAUAUCAA
This 567-nucleotide ribosomal RNA is filed under the name Trichoderma atroviride. RNAcentral describes it as "eukaryotic LSU rRNA". The stretch from base 186 to 339 matches the Rfam family "5.8S ribosomal RNA". The record is from RNAcentral. Lineage: Eukaryota; Fungi; Ascomycota; Sordariomycetes; Hypocreales; Hypocreaceae.